This 197-nucleotide ribosomal RNA is filed under the name uncultured bacterium. RNAcentral describes it as "partial 16S ribosomal RNA". It matches the Rfam family "Bacterial small subunit ribosomal RNA", at positions 328 to 539 of the family's 1533-position model. The record is from RNAcentral.
ACGCUCGACACCUACGGGAGCAGCAGUGGGGAAUAUUGCACAAUGGGGGAAACCCUGAUGCAGCGACGCCGCGUGGAGGAAGAAGGUCUUCGGAUUGUAAACUCCUGUUGUUGGGGAAAAAGAGGAUGGUACCCAACAAGGAAGUGACGGCUAACUACGUGCCAGCAGCCCCGGUAAUCUGAGCGGGCUGGCAAGGC